This 305-nucleotide ribosomal RNA is filed under the name uncultured bacterium. Its description in RNAcentral is "bacterial SSU rRNA". It matches the Rfam family "Bacterial small subunit ribosomal RNA", at positions 337 to 652 of the family's 1533-position model. The record is from RNAcentral.
CCCUACGGGGGGCAGCAGUAGGGAAUUUUCGGCAAUGGGGGGAACCCUGACCGAGCAACGCCGCGUGAACGAAGAAGUUAUUCGUAAUGUAAAGUUCUUUUAUCAGGGAAGAAAGAGGAAUUUGACGGUACCUGAGGAAUAAGCUCCGGCUAACUACGUGCCAGCAGCCGCGGUAAUACGUAGGGAGCGAGCGUUAUCCGGAAUUACUGGGUGUAAAGGGCGCGUAGGCGGGAUGGCAAGUCAGAUGUGAAAUCCGGGGGCUCAACCCCUGAACUGCAUUUGAAACUGUCGUUCUUGAGUACUGG